AUUGAACGCUAGAGGUAUGCCUUACACAUGCAAGUCGAACGGAGUGGCGAACGGGUGAGUAAUGUAUCUGAACGUGCCCAGUAGCGGGGGAUAACUACGCGAAAGCGUAGCUAAUACCGCCUACUAUUGGAGCGGCCGAUAUCGGAUUCGCUAGUUGGUGGGGUAACGGCUCACCAAGGCGACGAUCCGUAGCUGGUUUGUGAGGACGACCCACCACACUGGGAAUGAGAAAAGGCCCAGACUCCUACGGGAGGCAGCAGUGGGGAAUUGUGGACAAUGGGGGAAACCCUGAUCCAGCCAUCCCGCGUGGGCGAUGAAGGCCUUCGGGUUGUAAAGCACGUUUGGCAGGAAAGCGGUACCUGCAGAAUAAGCACCGGCUAACUACGUGCCAGCAGCCGCGGUAAUAC
RNAcentral lists this ribosomal RNA (407 nucleotides) under uncultured bacterium. RNAcentral's name for it is "partial 16S ribosomal RNA". It matches the Rfam family "Bacterial small subunit ribosomal RNA", at positions 30 to 526 of the family's 1533-position model. The record is from RNAcentral.